AGAGUUCGAUUAUGGCUCAGGACGAACGCUGGCGGCGCGCCUAACACAUGCAAGUCGAACGAGAGAGAGGAAGCUUGCUUCCUCAAUCGAGUGGCGAACGGGUGAGUAACGCGUGAGGAACCUGCCUCAAAGAGGGGGGACAACAGUUGGAAACGACUGCUAAUACCGCAUAAGCCCACAGGUCGGCAUCGACCAGAGGGAAAAGGAGCAAUCCGCUUUGAGAUGGCCUCGCGUCCGAUUAGCUAGUUGGUGAGGUAAUGGCCCACCAAGGCGACGAUCGGUAGCCGGACUGAGAGGUUGAACGGCCACAUUGGGACUGAGACACGGCCCAG
RNAcentral lists this ribosomal RNA (332 nucleotides) under uncultured bacterium. RNAcentral describes it as "bacterial SSU rRNA". It matches the Rfam family "Bacterial small subunit ribosomal RNA", at positions 8 to 334 of the family's 1533-position model. The record is from RNAcentral.